RNAcentral lists this ribosomal RNA (587 nucleotides) under Lactobacillus sp. RNAcentral describes it as "bacterial SSU rRNA". It matches the Rfam family "Bacterial small subunit ribosomal RNA", at positions 352 to 932 of the family's 1533-position model. Lineage: Bacteria; Bacillati; Bacillota; Bacilli; Lactobacillales; Lactobacillaceae. The record is from RNAcentral.
CAGUAGGGAUCUUCCACAAUGGACGAAAGUCUGAUGGAGCAACGCCGCGUGAGUGAAGAAGGUUUUCGGAUCGUAAAACUCUGUUGUUGGAGAAGAACGUAUUUGAUAGUAACUGAUCAGGUAGUGACGGUAUCCAACCAGAAAGCCACGGCUAACUACGUGCCAGCAGCCGCGGUAAUACGUAGGUGGCAAGCGUUGUCCGGAUUUAUUGGGCGUAAAGCGAGCGCAGGCGGUUUCUUAAGUCUGAUGUGAAAGCCUUCGGCUCAACCGAAGAAGUGCAUCGGAAACUGGGAAACUUGAGUGCAGAAGAGGACAGUGGAACUCCAUGUGUAGCGGUGAAAUGCGUAGAUAUAUGGAAGAACACCAGUGGCGAAGGCGGCUGUCUGGUCUGUAACUGACGCUGAGGCUCGAAAGCAUGGGUAGCAAACAGGAUUAGAUACCCUGGUAGUCCAUGCCGUAAACGAUGAGUGCUAGGUGUUGGAGGGUUUCCGCCCUUCAGUGCCGCAGCUAACGCAUUAAGCACUCCGCCUGGGGAGUACGACCGCAAGGUUGAAACUCAAAGGAAUUGACGGGGGCCGCACAAGAAA